RNAcentral lists this ribosomal RNA (463 nucleotides) under uncultured bacterium. Its description in RNAcentral is "partial 16S ribosomal RNA". It matches the Rfam family "Bacterial small subunit ribosomal RNA", at positions 28 to 507 of the family's 1533-position model. The record is from RNAcentral.
GACGAACGCUGGCGGCGUGCUUAACACAUGCCAGUCGAACGGAAAGGCCUUUUCGGAGGUACUCGAGUGGCGAACGGGUGAGUAACACGUGGGUGAUCUGCCCUGCACUCUGGGAUAAGCCUGGGAAACUGGGUCUAAUACCGGAUAGGACCGCACUUUAGUGUGUGUGGUGGAAAGUUUUUUCGGUGUAGGAUGAGCCCGCGGCCUAUCAGCUUGUUGGUGGGGUAAUGGCCUACCAAGGCGGCGACGGGUAGCCGGACUGAGAGGUUGGUCGGCCACAUUGGGACUGAGAUACGGCCCAGACUCCUACGGGAGGCAGCAGUGGGGAAUAUUGCACAAUGGGCGCAAGCCUGAUGCAGCGACGCCGCGUGGGGGAUGACGGCCUUCGGGUUGUAAACUCCUUUCGCCAGGGACGAAGCGUUUUGUGACGGUACCUGGAGAAGAAGCACCGGCUAACUACGUG